RNAcentral lists this ribosomal RNA (207 nucleotides) under uncultured bacterium. Its description in RNAcentral is "partial 16S ribosomal RNA". It matches the Rfam family "Bacterial small subunit ribosomal RNA", at positions 568 to 773 of the family's 1533-position model. The record is from RNAcentral.
CACGUAGGCGGCCUGUUAAGUGUGGAGUGAAAUCCCACGGCUCACCCGUGGAACUGCUUCGCAUACUGGCAAGCUCGAGGACGGUAGGGGAGAGCGGAACUCUUGGUGGAGCGGUGAAAUGCGUAGAUAUCAAGAGGAACACCGAUGGCGAAGGCAGCUCUCUGGUCCGUUUCUGACGCUGAGGUGCGAAAAGCUAGGGUAGCGAAC